RNAcentral lists this ribosomal RNA (119 nucleotides) under Salmo salar (Atlantic salmon). Lineage: Eukaryota; Metazoa; Chordata; Actinopteri; Salmoniformes; Salmonidae. The record is from RNAcentral.
UCUUACGGCCAUAUCAGCCUGGGUACGCCUGAUCUCGUCUGAUCUCGGAAGCUAAGCAGGGUCGGGCCUGGUUAGUACUUGGAUGGGAGACCGCCUGGGAAUACCAGGUGCUGUAAGCA